This is a long non-coding RNA of Ictalurus punctatus (channel catfish), 1037 nucleotides long. Lineage: Eukaryota; Metazoa; Chordata; Actinopteri; Siluriformes; Ictaluridae. The record is from Ensembl.
CUGAUAUUAAGAUGAAAACAUUGUUAAGACGUCUAGUAGCCUGACUUCACGAACAUGCGUGUGUGGUUUUCAUGGCCGCGUUUAAAACCGGGAAAACAUAAACAGCGCUAACGGCUAACUGUGUUCUGUGACACCCCUGAUUGAUUAAUAUUAAAUCGAUCUCAUACUCGUCGUGACAUAAGGAUCCGUAUCCGUAUCGACGAGUGCCAACAGAUACGUUUUUAUGCUUGUAUCUAGCCUGAAAAAAUGGCAUCGAUUCAUCCGUAGUGGUUUUUUAAAAAAAAAAAAAAAUCCUCUUUUAAAACAGAACACCGAAAGCCGUUACUGAGCGUAACAACACUCCCAUGAAAAAAUGUCUUCAUGAUGGCCAUGAGAACAUUCCUCAGAAGUUUUGUCACAGAACUGACAAAUCAACCCAGAACACUGUGCACCUUUGUUCCCCGAUGCUUAUUUACAUGUGUGAUCUGGAGGCCCCGUGCGUCAUGUGGAUUAGCAAGUACCUGCAGUGGUAUACAUGGAGGCAUUUGCAUUUUUCACACGUGCAUUUUUUUUUUUUUUGCACGAGAAAUUCACGGCAAGGAAUGAAACGGGGUUGAGUGGGAAAAAUGACAGAUGAAGCGACCAUGAUUUAGUGCGAUUCAGGGAAAUGAUUAAAAAUGCUCGGAUAGAUGGCGAUAUAUAUUACCACGAAAGAGAACGAUUGCUUGAUGGCUAUUUAUACGAAGCGUCACACCUAGAGUCAUAUCUUCAUGCUGCUCUUGCCUGGCUUCCCAGUGACGCUAAGCAGGGUUGAGCUUGCCCACUACCUGGAUGAGAGACCUCCUGGGGAAGUGGUAUUAGUAACGCCAGCAGGGGGCGCUCACCCUGUGGUCUGUGUGGGGCCUAAAACCACAAUAUAAUGUCAGGGACACUAUACUCAGGGUUGAGCUUGCCCACUACCUGGAUGAGAGACCUCCUGGGGAAGUGGUAUUAGUAACGCCAGCAGGGGGCGCUCACCCUGUGGUCUGUGUGGGGCCUAAAACCACAAUAUAAUGUCA